CCACCGCGGUUAUACGGGGGGCCCAAGCUGAUAGACACCGGCGUAAAGCGUGGUUAGGAAUAUUUUAUACAAUUAAAGCCGAAUGCUUUCAAGGCUGUUAUACGCAUCCGAAAGCUAGAAGUACAACUACGAAGGUGGCUUUAUAACUUCUGAACCCACGAAAGCUAAGAAACAAACUGGGAUUAGAUACCCCACUAUGCUUAGCCCUAAACAUUGAUAGGAGAUUACACCUCUAUCCGCCUGGGGACUACGAGCUUAAGCUUAAAACCCAAAGGACUUGGCGGUGCUUUAGAUCCCCCUAGAGGAGCCUGUUCUGGAACCGAUAAUCCCCGUUAAACCUCACCUUUUCUUGUUCUCCCCGCCUAUAUACCGCCGUCGUCAGCUUACCCUGUGAAGGGACAACAGUUAGCAGAAUUGGCACAGCCCAAAACGUCAGGUCGAGGUGUAGCGUACGGAAAGGGAAGAAAUGGGCUACAUUUUCUAGUAUAGAAAAUACGGAUGAUAUACUGAAAUACAUAUCUGAAGGAGGAUUUAGUAGUAAGAAGAGAAUAGAGUGCCCUUCUGAAAUUGGCCCUGAAGCGCGCACACACCGCCCGUCACCCUCCCCUAGCUCUUAAAAGUAAUUUCAUAAAACGCUAUAACUGCAAAGGGGAGGCAAGUCGUAACAUGGUAAGUG
This 676-nucleotide ribosomal RNA is filed under the name Stephanolepis hispida (planehead filefish). RNAcentral's name for it is "partial 12S small subunit ribosomal RNA". It matches the Rfam family "Bacterial small subunit ribosomal RNA", at positions 512 to 1502 of the family's 1533-position model. The record is from RNAcentral. Lineage: Eukaryota; Metazoa; Chordata; Actinopteri; Tetraodontiformes; Monacanthidae.